RNAcentral lists this long non-coding RNA (2514 nucleotides) under Podarcis lilfordi (Lilford's wall lizard). Lineage: Eukaryota; Metazoa; Chordata; Lepidosauria; Squamata; Lacertidae. The record is from RNAcentral.
CGUAUGUUCUUUCCAAUUAUAUCUUUCACAUAAUUAAUUUCUGAUUUAUUGCUUCUUAAUCUGUACAUUAGUUUUCAUAAUUGUGUUUACUCAAAUCCUGCUAGUGAGUCCAUUUCUUAACAGUGUUUCUGUAACUACAGCAGGAACGUUUCCCAGUCUUUUUUAGAGUCUCUAUUGUCCUUGUCUCUGAGUCUUUCUGUGAGUUUUGCCAUUUCUGCGCAUUCCAUAAGUUUUUUUUGCCAUUCUUCUUUCGUUGGCAUCUUGGCAUCUUUCCAUUUUUGGACAGGUGACCUCACCUAGGACUGAAGUCACCCCCCACCAAAGCAGGCUCAAAACUUCUCAAAGCUUUUCAAAAUCAUUUUCUCAGCAGCUAAGCAUCAGAAACAUUCCGCUCUGCUGUAACAAAGGUAGAGAACAGUCCAUUGUUUCUCAGGCCAGAAGACGUGAGCAAGGCCAGAAGACAUGAGAAAGGCCUGAGAAACAAUGGACUGUUCUCUACCUUUGUUACAGCAGAGCGGAAUGUUUCUGAUGCUUAGCUGCUGAGAAAAUGAUUUUGAAAAGCUUUGAGAAGUUUUGAGCCUGCUUUGGUGGGGGGUGACUUUGGGCCUAGGUGAGGUCACCUGUCCUCACCUUCCUUCAGUAAAAUCCUAGCUGCUGUUGUAGCAUGCAGCAAUAACUUCUUCCACUCUUUUGGCAAUUCCUGCCCUAUAAAGGUAUAAUGAUUAUUAGAUCUUUUCCAGAAAGUUCUGUUCUGUGGGACCCCUGGGGGCUUCUCUUACACGUAAACAUGCUUGGCAGAAAAGACGCCCAAGCCUACUCAGCGUAGCAUAACGAGGCCAUUAUCGGGGAGGUUGAGGACUUCCAAUAAGAAAAGGGCAUACUUUUUAGUGUGCAAUGUUUUAUUAUGUUUUUCUAUAUGUUUGAAGCACUGCCGCGCCACUUUAAAGAGACAUGGCUCCCCCCCAUCCCUCUCCACAGUGUCACAAGAAUUCUAAGGCAUCACAAAUAAAAACGAAGGCUCAUCAAUGCACAAGAUAAACACACGUACGUAAGUACCCAAACCACGUGUCUGAAAUAGUGCAGGGGAGGAAUCCUGAAGCCGCCUUGGCUCUUAAUGACCGCAAAUAUUUCCUCUGCGGGAGGAAAUACCUUGAGGAAACCUCUCCCGAUAGUUCCUUUCACUUAACGAAUCCUUCAGAGCCACUCAAAAGAGCACAUUUUGUGCAUGAAGAGGCGAUAGGGGAGGUCUGUGACCAGGGUUUCUGAAACCAGGGUAUGUACCAUUUCAAAAGAUGACUGGCUAGGAUAAUGCAACCCGCAAGUAUUAUCAAGUGUCAGAAGGCAAGAUAAGUAUCAAAACAUAAGACAUGGUGUACGAGGAAGACUCUGAGAAGGAGGCGUCUGGGUAAAAUCAAGGCAGCAACUGACCUACUUGAGAGCAUUCAAGUUGCCUGUUCAUCAAUGUUCUUCCCAUGAAGAAGGGAGAAGAAACUGAGAUUUUAUCUGGAUUUCUCAUUGCCUCAUACAAAGUACAAAGAGUUCUUUCUUUAUUAGCUUCUGUUUAGAGUAUAGAACACCGAUCAGAUGUUUGAGCAGCUUCUUGAAGAAAGUGUGGUCAAGUUUCCUUGCAUAUUCAGUAGGAUAAGUGGAUUGUAGAGGGUUCUUAAUUCUAAGACCCUUAGGUAUAAUGUCCAGGCUCUUGCAUUUAGUCAGAAAGAAGAUGUCAGUCUGUACCUGUGCAAGUUUCUUGGUGAGGUUGAUGGACUUCCAUUUCAUGCGGCUCAAUGUGGUGCCUUCCAUAGUUCUACCUAUGAGUAGUUGGAAUCCGGCUACCUACCUGUAAUUGGAAAAACAGGUUCUGUGUCAGUGCCCCUCCUGACAUGCAGAUUUCAUGUUCCAGAGAACAGGCUAUAAUUCCAGGAGCUUGUAACUCUGUUCCCCCCCGAUGAAGAGUUCUGUGAAACUCCAAACUCUGUGCACACCACGUUGUUUAUCAGCCUUAAUGUUUCCAUGCUGUAAAAUGGGAGAGAUGCAUCAUGCUGCUUCUUUUCAGAACUGGAUUGGCAGACUGUUUCGGGGUAAUUUACAAACCACCCCAAUCUCUGAGCAGUGUGAGAUUCCAGGGGUUUGUGUUACCUUUCGGAACAAAUAGGCACAGCAGAGUCUGCAGCACCUUUAUGAUAUAUGGUUUAUUUCCACAAAUAUACAGCUUGAACCGAGAUGGAGUGCAGAGCAUUCGCAUCCCAAGAGGCUUUUGGUUCUCCCAUUGCUGCAGCCUCGCCUUCCAAGGGAGCCCAAUAUCCGUCCAAAGCCUGGCACUGCAGGAGUCACAGCUAAAGACGGCCACCCAACCUCUGUUCAGAAACCUUCAGCGAAGGAGACUCCACCACCUGAGGCAUUUCCAAAGUAAAGGAAGGAUUGAACUCUGAUUAAUAAGAAUACACACAGAGGCUUGAACCAGCAAGACCCUGGGAAGGGUGUGUAUAAUCGUGUCUCCCUGUGCCUGUCCGUGAG